CAGUCGCCGCGGUAAUACGGAGGAUCCAAGCGUUAUCCGGAAUCAUUGGGUUUAAAGGGUCCGUAGGCGGUCUUGUAAGUCAGUGGUGAAAGCCCAUCGCUCAACGGUGGAACGGCCAUUGAUACUGCAGGACUUGAAUUAUUGGGAAGUAACUAGAAUAUGUAGUGUAGCGGUGAAAUGCUUAGAGAUUACAUGGAAUACCAAUUGCGAAGGCAGGUUACUACCAAUUGAUUGACGCUGAUGGACGAAAGCGUGGGUAGCGAACAGGAUUAGAUACCCGUGUAGUCCCUGUCUCUUAUAA
This 301-nucleotide ribosomal RNA is filed under the name uncultured bacterium. RNAcentral's name for it is "partial 16S ribosomal RNA". It matches the Rfam family "Bacterial small subunit ribosomal RNA", at positions 509 to 809 of the family's 1533-position model. The record is from RNAcentral.